GAUGAACGCUGGCGGCGUGCCUAAUACAUGCAAGUCGAGCGAACGGACGAGAAGCUUUCUUCUCUGAUGUUAGCGGCGGACGGGUGAGUAACACGUGGAUAACCUACCUAUAAGACUGGGAUAACUUCGGGAAACCGGAUCUAAUACCGGAUAAUAUUUUGAACCGCAUUGUUCAAAAGUGAAAUACGGUCUUGCUGUCACUUAUAGAUGGAUCAGCGCUGCAUUAGCUAGUUGGUAAGGUAACGGCUUACCAAGGCAACGAUGCAUAGCCGACCUGAGAGGGUGAUCGCACACACUGGAACUGAGAAACGGUCCAGACUCCUACGGGAGGAAGCAGUCGGGAAUCUUACGCAAUGGGCGAAAGCCUGACGGAGCAACGCCGCGUGAGUCAUGAAGGUCUUCGGAUCGUAAAACUCUGUUAUUAGGGAAGAACAUAUGUGUAAGUAACCGUGAACAUAUUGACGGUACCUAAUCAGAAAGCCCCGGCUAACUACGUG
Molecule: ribosomal RNA, 497 nt
Filed under: uncultured bacterium
Lineage: Bacteria
Description: partial 16S ribosomal RNA
Rfam family: Bacterial small subunit ribosomal RNA
Source: RNAcentral